Molecule: transfer RNA, 72 nt
Filed under: Dryophytes immaculatus (spotless tree toad)
Lineage: Eukaryota; Metazoa; Chordata; Amphibia; Anura; Hylidae
Also listed under: 3 other names
Description: tRNA-Lys
Source: RNAcentral
CAUUAAGAAGCUAUAGGACCGAGCGACAGCCUUUUAAGCUGUAGACAGGUGACUUCCAACCACCCUUAGUGA